GCUGGGUGUGGUGGCCCACGCCUGUGGUCUCAGCUACUUGGGAGGCUGAAGUGGGAGGAUCACUUGAGCCCAGGAGGUCGAGACUGCAGUGAGCUGUGAUCAUGCCACUGCACUCCAGCCUGGGCAACAGAAUGAGACCCUUUUUUUU
This is an unclassified non-coding RNA of Pongo abelii (Sumatran orangutan), 148 nucleotides long. It matches the Rfam family "Metazoan signal recognition particle RNA". Rfam says of the family: The signal recognition particle (SRP) is a universally conserved ribonucleoprotein. It is involved in the co-translational targeting of proteins to membranes. The record is from Ensembl. Lineage: Eukaryota; Metazoa; Chordata; Mammalia; Primates; Hominidae.